AUAAUUAAAAAAAAAAAAAGCAAAAACAUUUUUCUAUGUGUUGAUUCAUAACUUUAUCCUCUACUGAUCUUCAUGGCUGAUUCACACGAAAUUGCUCUGACUAAGAUCUCCGAUUUACAAUCAGAGGUUUAUUGACGGCGAUAAGGUAUGUAUCGAAGAAUAUGAGUCUGAUCAAGUUGGUGAAAUAUGAUUUGAAGGAUGAACAACCUUUCUAAAUUUGGGGACCAAUUUUAGCCUAUACAGUAAAAUCUGAACUGAACAUGCUUAUCAACAAUCAUGAAUUUGUGGCAUUGUUACUUACGAAGGAUCAAUAAUAGUUUUGAAACUACUGGUCAAUGGUGGAGUCGGGUAGAAGAUUGCUGAUACCAGAUAAGACUUUUCUAAUCUAUCUUACUACUUCUUACCAUUUUUUUUUUCCAUUUGCUAAAACAGAGAAUGAUCUUUUUGUUGUGUAAGAAAAGUCUGAACUGAACAUGCUUAUCAACAAUCAUGAAUCCGCGGGUUAAAGGUUGCACAAUGAAUAUGCUAAGGAAGGACAAUCAAAAUCAGAUAAGUUUUCAUUAUGUUUGCCCAGUAUGUAGUGUAUGUUAGUAUGAAUUUAUAAAACUAUGAGAUAUUGCGUGAAAUUAAGUUGAAUUAAGUCCUUUUUGACUGCGUGGAUCUUCAUCCACUAUGAUAAUUAAAAUAGAAAAUAAUAAGAUUCGUGUCAAGAAUAAAAUGAAUAUUAGAAAGUAGUUUAACUUGUAUUCUUACAGUUUUAUCAGCCAAUAUCAACUCUAGCUCUUCUCCUGUGUUGUUUGUAUACUUAUGCUAGUUAUGGAGGACUUUCACUUGUACUCUCCACGCUGUCUUGUAUGGACGGAUAUCUCGCAAGAAAGCAAAUGAUGCAGCCAUCUCUCCCGAGUUGUGUUUGGAUAUGCAAUUGUAGGUUUUAAUCGUGGGUGUUGUUAUGUUUCGUUUGUGAAAGUAGUAUUUAUAGAUUCCAAUAUGCUUGAUGAGCAAGGAUUUUACGAUGUACUCAUUUUAAAGAGAGAUUUCAGCAAUCAACGUUUUAUUAAAACAAAGAUUUUUUAAGCAA
Molecule: long non-coding RNA, 1078 nt
Organism: Camelina sativa (false flax)
Lineage: Eukaryota; Viridiplantae; Streptophyta; Magnoliopsida; Brassicales; Brassicaceae
Source: RefSeq, a predicted model, not a curated record